AGUCCUAAUACAGACCGGGCCAGAGCUCAAGGACCUUCUUCCAAGAAGGCCUGCUCGAGAUAUCAUCCCACCAACCGCUCACAUGCUUUCGGUCCCUUAUCAGAUACUCCUUCCCUAUCUUUCCCACCAAGUACUGGGUGAACGGAAGGUGGCUCAGGUCGGCAAGGCUGAAGAAAUCCCCUGCCAGGUACUUGCUCUUUGACAGCCUCUCCUCGUAGAUAUCCAGAACCUGACAGAGCUUGUCCUCGCUCUCUUUGAGCUGCUUCGGAUCCGGGGUAAGCCCAAUAAAAGGGCCAAAAACAAUUUUGAGGACAAGGUCGUAGAUUGGCGGAUGGAAGUUGUGGGCCUCGACUUCGAGCCACUGCUCAACGAGCCCCCUCUCCUCGAUUGUCUUCCCCAGCAGUUCAGUCCCUUGGUCCUUGUAUUUCUCGGCAUAAUACCUUAUGAUGGCCCGCGAUUCUGUAUGAAUUAGACAGGAUAUAUCACAGAGAAUAGACAGACAAAUCUUUAUCCCCACAUAUGAAAAGCAACAAAUAACCAGAAUGAAACCUAAAAGAGGCAUGCACUGUGCUUUCGAAUCUUCCAGCAGUCUUACUCUCAUGACACUAGACCCACGGUAUAAGUGUAGAUGCAGCAGGACACUUCAAUGUCUAUGCACUGAUCAUUCUGCUUAAAGUCCAAUCAAGAACAUGACCGGAUGAAAAUGCAGGUCCAAACUGAAAAUCGCCUUUGGUCGACAUACGAAAAGAGGCAGAUCAUGAACAACUCCAGAACAGAUAUGGAGACUAAGAGCCUGGCCUUAAGAGCUUUGGAUUCAAAUCAUCUGUUCCCGAGGCAAAUGAUUAGACUUGAGAUUGAGAGUGGAUGUAUGUAACCUAAAACGAGUGGCUGAUAUCAGGUGAACAUGCCGGUGGACUCAAUCUUUUCAACUUCCUCUGAUAUCCACUCAUUGCAGAACUCUUUAGACUAUUGCGACGCUUCACCGGCCGAUUACAACGCAAACAGCCCUAGUAAAUUAGGAACAUCUGCACGCUAAAGAACCAUCCGUAUGUCCCCGUGCUCUGAUCUCAAGACCGCAAGAAAACAGCAAUAGAAAGAAAAUAACGAUGCAAGAAGCCAAGAGUCGAGAGCAUUACCGAACAGAGUGUAGUCGCCAUCUUGAACCACAGGAAGCGAUCCGAAGGGCUACACAGACGCGCGCGCACACACGAGAUCCGAAUCAGCGUCAAUCAGACAAGACUACCCACGAAAGGAGACACAAUGAAAAUUCAAGCGAUCAAGAGUUUGACCGAAAGCGAAGUUGGAGUUUCAAGAACGACCGGGACAGACCUGGAGCUUGAGGUACUCGGGGGCUUUGUGCUCGCCUUUGAGGAGGUCGACGCCGACGGUCUCGAACUCGACGCCCUUCUCGAGCAGGCACACCAGUGCCCGCUUCGGCGACGCGUAGUCAGGUCCGUACACCUUCACCACCAUCGUCACUCUCGCUCUCUCUCUGUGCUUCUCUCUUCCUUCUUGACGGACCUAGUCAGCGACUCUCUCCGCUGUGUCUCCGUGGCGCUAUAAAGAGGUCUCUUUGUUAGAGCAGCAGAAGAAGGUGCACAAGUCAAUGAUGCACCAACCCACAAUUAAUCCAAGGUUAGGUAAUUGGUCCCCAUCAUUAUGAAGUUUCGCAUUUCGCAUUUGCUUCCAUGAGUUUGAAUCCCUCUGUAAGUUCAACUUAUGUGGAAAUACCGCGACUCUUUUGGCUGUGUAUGCUAUCUGGGUAAAGUUGGGAUGGCAAGUAGGGCCUCCUUUGGCUGUCAAGGGAUUUAUUGCCCUAGAUUAAAAAUAUCCCAUAAAAGAGAUGAAAUAAAUAUAGAUAGAAUUUUUUAUAUUUAUGAUAUAAAAAUCAUUUUUGUCUAAUAACAAAUUUCUUCGAAUUUAAAUAAUUAAAUAUAAACAAUAUAUGAGUUCUAAUAUUAAAAGGGAAAUUCAAAAUAACAACGAUUUUCAUUUUAUUUUAUUUUUAUUUAUCCGAAUUUAUUUUCUAUAUAUACAUACUUAGCAUUUAUAUCUAUCACAUAUUUUAGGUAUAUUGGUAUGGUUAAUUUAUUAAGAAAUGAUGGAAAGGAAUUAAAAAAAAAAGGAAACAAAACAAAAGAGUGAAAAUAAUAUAAAAAUAAAUAAAUAAAAUUGAAGUAGGCGAGAGAGUUGAAACACUAAUUAAGAUUCGCGAAGGUAAAUGAUCAUGUUUUCUUUCUCUUAGUAGAUUUGACAAGUGUUGACUAAUCCACCUAUCAAUGUUGUCAUAGCUCAUUUAGGUUUGUCGUCAAAAUCGAAUUCAUGACUUUGAAAUGUUGCAAUGAGCUCAUUUGUUAUUUAAGAUUUGGAUUGUCCAAUAAUUAUGCAUUUAUUUAUGGAUGUUAUCUCUGUCUACUUAUGGUUUCUUUAACAAUUAAUGUAAGAUAUUCUUAACAUCUCCAUUUGUACAUUUUCAUGUUCAUUUAUAUUGAUAUACUAUUCCUAGCAAAUAUUUGACAUGAUAGGAUAUGAAAAUAUUCAGUUUUAUUACAACAAUUCACCACAUAAUAGAUAAGAUUUUGUUAAUUCCAUAUCUUACCAUAUCACAUUCUAUUCAAUCAUAUCGUAAUUAGAAAUCCAAAUGAACAAAUACACCUAAAAUUGUUAAAAUUUGUCAUGCUCCAUGGGACAUUUGUAAUCUUGAAAGAUCUGUCUUUUGUCGAUUUCUUUUGCACUAAAUUGGUGUCGCACCUAUGCUCUACACCUUUGAUUAGUUUCGGCCGAAAGUUUUCAAUAAUUGUCACAAGAUGAAAAGCACCGUGCUCAUUUUUUUCACAUGGCCCACCUGCUUCUGGAAAGGCAAUUACCAAUUUGCUCGAAUAGGGUAGUAGGUGAGAGGUCAAAUUGGCCUAUGUCCGCAAGCCAUAGAUUCUAAUAAUCGGUCUUCUUUUCAAUCUAAAUUAUUCGAGGGAGUAGGAAGAUUUGGCCAACCGAAAAUGCACACUUGAGCUGUCCUUGCAUCAUUAACAAAAUGGUUUUCUUUCUCAACUUCCUUUGCACCUGCAAUUGAGUAAACUAUUGAUCACCUAACCUCCACAGGAGAACAAGCAAGAAAGGGGUAAUCGAUUAUUAUAUGUUCGACGCCAUUAUUCACCCAAAUCAAUCAUCGCGAGUGAGAAUUUAAGAAACCUCAUAACAUUUUUCAUGUGACAACGGAAUUAGAAGAGCAAAAAGCAUCAUUGUUCGGACGAAAUACUGCUAUGAGAAAGACUAUCGGUUCGAGUGUUAGAAGAGAGGUGUUUUUUGGAAGGAUCAUUUAUGUGACUCUCUCUCCUCUGAAACUUUUUCGUAUUUGAUUCGUCAAACCUAAUUGCAAAAGUAAACCGUGAUAAUUUCACCCUGCAAUGCUGGUCAAGUACGCUGCUUUGGUUGGCUUCCUGGCUGCCCACUGAUUAGGGCGAGUCCUGAAAAUUACUGUCUUGGAUUGAAUCAAGCCGAGGAAUGCGGAGAAACCUUAUAACGAAUAUUGAUCUCCUGCUGAUGCUCAGAGGCACACCAUCGUAAAAGACAAAUCGUAAUAUUUGGUCUUUCUUUGUUUUAUUUGGUCAAAAGUGGGCUUUUUCAUAUUUAAAGAAAGGAGAAAAGAAGAGUAAUAAUGGGACAGCCCGCACCGAGAGAGAAAGGAAAAGGAAACGCGAUAGAAAAGGAAGACGAGAGGGAAAAGGUAAAGAGGAAGAACUAGCGCACACACCUUGGAAUUAUCGUCAGGUUGGAUUGACUUCAUUUUUAUGAUCAGAAUUUACGGCAUUUGUUUGUUUAUUCGGAGUAGUUUUCAAAAUCAAGAUACAAAUUCGAAAUCAUGUGAAAUUUAAACUACGAAUUCAGUUUUUGAGUUGUUAGAUGUGGAAUUGCAUGGAAAUCAUGAUUAGGGCGUUAUGGAGUCAUGAAAUAUGAUGGGAAUUCCUUACCAAAAUUAUUUGAAGUAACUUUUAAAUCAUAUUUGAUGGGAUUUAUUUGAAGUAACUUUUUAGUCGAAGUGAACUUUAGAAAUUUCUACAGAGCUCUACAUUGUGAUUAGCUUUGAUUCAUCGCAAUGGGCGAGCGAUUUGUUGUGCAUGGGUGUAAUUUUGUUAGGGAUUAAACUUAGUUCAGCCAAUUCGUGGUUGAGAUAGUGUUUUACUUGAUUUUGAUGUAAAUUCUAAUUUAAUUUAUAAAAUUACAAGAUCGUCAGCUCUUUUGAUUUUGGGUAUUUUCAAGUGAAUGAUACUAUCCCUUUUUUGAAUUUCUAAACUCAUAUGUUGAAAAUGAAAGGGAUUAGACAUAUUAUGUGUAAAGUAUGAUUUAAUUAAAUGGCAGAAAUGAUGUUCAUUGCAUAUUUGAUACAUAAAAUUUGAAUCGGGUAUUUAUUGCCCUUUUGAUUAUUUGAAAUAGCGUGGAAAGCAUUUUUGGAAACAAUUUACGAGUUGAUUAUUAUGAAAUAAUUUGGGAAGUGCUUUAUUGCAUAAAAGUUAUAUGUAUUGAUUUGUGAAAUUGAUUUAUAAAGGUAUUAUAUUGCAAAAGGAUAUAUGUUUGAUAUUAUGAAAACCAUUUAUGAUAUCGAUUCUGGAUUAGUUUUGAGGAAGAAAUUGAUUUUUGAAAGGAUAUAUGUUUUGGUUUGUGUCAAAGUAUUUUGAUUAUGGGAUGGAUCUGGGUUUGGUAUUGUGGAUUAUUAGAAUAUGAUGGUUUGAUUCUUAUUAUUGUUGCAAACUUAGUUAGGAGUUUUUAAGGCUUAAGGAUAUUAUUAUGGGUCAAACCACUAGCUGCUAAUAGGCGGAGACAUUGCCUUGGUCCUCUUUCACCAAUCGUGAUUAUGGUUGAAUAUUAAGCAUAAAAUGAAUCAGUGAAAUAGCUUAUUGAUGUGUGGAGCGAGUUUCAAGAACAGAGACAGGCCUGAACUUGAGGAAUUCAGGGGCUCUGUUCUCGUCCUUGAAGAUAUUGAUGGGAACGGUCUCGAACUCGACGCCUUCUCGACCAGGCACACCAGCACUCGCUUCGGAUUUGCAUAAUCAGGCCCGUACACCUUCACCACCAUUUUUUCUCUCUUCUUCUCUCUUGUCGACGGACCAGUUGAUUUCCAAAUAUCUUUCAGGAUCGACUCUCUCCUUCUGCAUCUGGGUUUUUAAAGGAAGCCCUUUUCAGAGGAUUAAACCAUGUUGCACACGACACCGUCAUGCACCAACAUACUGCUCGCGACCCGAUUCCUUUGGGGAUCCAAGGUUAGAUAAUCGGUCAACGUUGGUAUGCUACUAAUUACCUUUGUCGAAUUUUACUUCGCAUAUGCCUUGGAAGGCUUUGCAACAUUUCCUCUGACUUAUCUUUCAUAGAUUCUUCUCUGGCAAUGCGCAUGCUAUGACAUAUUUGGACGGUAGACUUGAAAUUCAUUAUGCUCGCACAAAUUUCCGCAGAGAAAACGACAGUCUUUAAAACUUUAGCCUAAGUACAACGUCAUCUUUGACUUUUAUUAAUUUAGUGAAUUCCUUGAAUUUCUAAUGUCCAAUCUAAUCCUUAAACCCUUUCGCAUUUUCCCAAUUAAGUCCAUCUAGCCAAUUUUAGCUAAAAAUCACUAAACUAGACAUUAACUAUAUUAGGUAGUACAGGUGACAUUGACGUAAAUAAUUUUUUAAUUUUUUUUAACAUUUUUAAUGAACUUUUUAUUUUUUAUUUUUCUUUUCUUUUUCUAAUCCUAGGCCGGCAACCCUCGCCUUGUCUAGGCUAGGGGCCCUCGAGCUGCGGUGGUUGUUUUUGUAGCAAUGGUCUCCCUCCUCCUUUGAGGAGUUUGUGUUCUGAUCUUCAUGCCGUGCUUGUCUCUUGUUAGCUUGGCUUCCUUUUUCUGGUUGCCUUGUGUUGUUGAUUUUACAUCUCGGCAUCCGUCCACUCAUUAUGUCCUCUCAUCUUGAGUGUAUGUUUUCGAUGCCGUAACCUUUUGUACAUUUGGCAUUUCCCUAUAUAUUUAUUACCUCUUACCAAAAAAAAAAAAAAAAAAAAAACAGGUGAAGGAUGCCCUCGCCUUACCCAAGCCAAGCAAGGUUGUCACAGCCCUAGCCUAAAUCUAGGCAAAGGCCAACCCUCUCACUUGUGGCCUGCAACUUAAGUAACAUCGAUCAGUAUGUGACAUGCAACACAACAUAAGACAACGUGCGAUAUGGCACAACACGAUACGUUGACACAUUAAUUCUCGAAAAAUAGAGAAUUCCAACACGUUAGGAUGCAUUGUAUAUUAAAUAUAUAUAUUUUAUAUAUACAUGAUAAAUUAUCAUUUUUAUGAUUAUUUUAAUAAAUUUAAUUUGAUUUAGAUUCGGAAUAAAUAAAUAAUAAAAAAGAGCCUAGAAUGAAUUUACACUAAAAACAUUAAUUUACCGUUUGUUGAUAUGAUUCAUUGUUUCAAUUUAACAAAUCUAACUAUAUUCCGUUCAAAUAAUCUAUAAAACUUGAAGGAAAAAAAAAUCACAUUCCAUUAUUAAAUUUAACAUUUAACAAGAAAUCGAAAAAAAAAAACAAUUCACAUUUCACCAUCAAAUAUAACAAGAAGUCGUUAUUUCCCCCUUUAUUUAUUUUUAUUUUUAUUUUAUUUUUUACAUAUUUAUAUUUUGACUCCUCGUUUAGUGAAACUUUUUAAAAUUAACCUAAUGUGUAUCAAAAUCACUUGUCAGAAUUAUAGACUCACAUGUCGGAUCAUGUCGGGCCGUAUGUCGGAUUUUCCGACACCUGUUGACUACAUAUCAGAAUGUGUGGGAGCGUGUCGAAGUGUUUGACACAACACGAAAGAUCUUGGAAAAUGAACUAGGGUUAGGAAAAAAAAUAAAGAAAAGGAAAAACAAACAAAUAAAUAAAAUUAAAAUAUUCAAAUAUUAUUAAAAAUUGUGUAUGUUAGCGCUAGUCGUUGCCAGCCAUAUCACAUACAAUGUCUGAUCCACAUUAGUAAUUUUAUGUCAACAUUGGUUGAAGGAACUCAAUUGGCAAAAGUCGAAGAUGUUUAGACUCAAUUAACAAAAUUGAAAAGUUUAUGACUAAAUUGGCAAAAUUACUAUAGAUUUAUGACUUUUUGGAUAAUUUUUCCUCUUCCCUUGCAUGCAAUGCGGACUGAACUUAUCUCCUAGAGUGAGUCUUAACAGCUCAUCUAACACCAGUUCAGUGAGCGCUGGACAUGUGAACGAACAUUUAUGAAGUUGCUCUUUCCAAGUUGUAAAAUAUCCACGAAAGUUGGUUAGUAGGUGGUUAAUUUUUAAUUUCACCAAAGUCACUGGCAUUGUACUAAUUAGCCGCGUACAUAGCCCGACAAAACACGACACCGCCAUGAAUAAUACAACACCAAAGAGGUCCACAGCAGGAUCAUUUACUGGAGAAAUCCCACUUUUACACAUGACCUUCACAAACCAGACUCAACAAAAGCUUAUUUGAUAGUCCAAAUCUGCCGAUUCAGAUCGAGUAGAAACAUACUAAGUAGGCACAAAGAGACUCGCUAUCCUUCACAUAGACCAAGGACUCGGGUGCACCCGGCAUACCUGAUAAAACAGUCCUAAUACUGACCGGGCCAGAGCUCAAGGACCUUCUUCCAAGAAGGCCUGCUCGAGAUAUCAUCCCACCAACCGCUCACAUGCUUCCGGUCCCUUAUCAGGUACUCCUUCCGCAUCUUGCCCAUCAAGUACUGGGUGAACGGAAGGUGGCUCAGGUCCGCAAGGCUGAAGAAAUCCCCUGCUAGGUACUUGCUCUUUGACAGCCUCUCCUCGUAGAUAUCCAGAACCCGACAGAGCUUGUCCUCGCUCUCUUUGAGCUGCUUCGGAUCCGGGGUAAGCCCAAUAAGCGGGCCGUAAACAAGAUUGUGGACAAGGUCGUAGAUUGGCGGAUGGAAGUUGUGGGCCUCGACUUCGAGCCACUGCUCAACGAGCCCCCUCUCCUCGAUUGUCUUCCCCAGCAGUUCAGUCCCUUGGUGCUUGUAUUUCUCGGCAUAAUACCUUAUGAUGGCCCGCGAAUCUGUAUGAAUUAGACAGGAUAUAUCACAGAGAGUAGACAGACAAAUCUUUAUCCCCACAUAUGAAAAGCAACAAAAAACCAGAAUGAAACCUAAAAGAGGCAUGCACUCUGCUUUUGAAUUUACCAGCAGUCUUUACUCUCAUGACAUUAGACCCACGGUAUAAGUGUAGAUGCAGCAGGACAUUUCAAUGUCUAUGCACUGAUCAUUCUGCUUAAACUCCAAUCAAGAACAUAACCGGAUGAAAAUGCAGGUCCAAACGGAAAAUCAGCGGCCUUUGGUCGACAUAUGAAAAGAGACAGAUCAUGAACAACUCCAGAACGGAUAUGGACACUACGAGCCUGGCCUUAAGAGCUUCGGAUUCAAAUCAUCUGUUCCUCAGGCAAAUGAUUUGACUUGAGAUUGAGAGUGGAUGUAUGUAACCUAAAAUGAGUGGCUGAUAUCAAGUGAACAUGCCGGAGGACUCAAAUCUUUUCAACUUCCUCUGAUAUCCACUCGUUGUAGAACUCUUUAGACUAUUGCGACGCUUCACUGGCCGAUUACAACGCAAACAGCCCUAGUAAAUUAGGAACAUCUGCAUGCUAAAGAACCAUCCGUAUGUCCCCGUGCUCUGAUCUCAAGACCGCAAGAAAACAGCAAUAGAAAGAAAAGAACGAUGCAAGAAGCCAAGAGUCGAGAGCAUUACCGAACAGAGCGUAGUCGCCAUCUUGAACCACAGGAACCGAUCCGAAGGGCUACACAGGCGCGCACACACGAGAUCCGAAUCAGCGUCAAUCAGACAAGACACACUUUGAAUGCCAAGUACCCACGAAAGGAGACAUAAUGAAAAGUCAAGCUGUCAAGAGUUUGACCGAAAGAGAAGUUGGAGUUUCAAGAACGACCGGGACAGACCUGGAGCUUGAGGUACUCCGGGGCUUUGUGCUCGCCUUUGAAGAGGUCAACGAUGACGGUCUCGAACUCGACAUCCUUCUCGAUCAGGCACACGAGCACCCGCUUCGGCGACGCGUAGUCAGGGCCGUACACCUUCACCACCAUCCUCACUCUCGCUCCCUCACUCUCUCUCUCUCUGCUUCUUUCUUCCUUCUUGACGGACCUGGUCAGCGACUCUUUCCGCUGUGUCUCCCGGGUUUUAUAAAGAAGUCUCUUUGUUAGAGCAGCAGACAGAAGCUGCACACGUCAAUGAUGUACCAACCCACCACCAAUCCAAGGUUAGUUAAUUGGUUCCCAUCACUAAAGAGUUUUGCAUUUUGCAUUUACUUCCAUGAGUUUGAAUCCCUCUGCAAGUUAAGACUUAUGUGGAAAUACUGCGACUCUUUGGCCGUGUAUGCUCUCUGAGUAAAGUUGGGAUGGCAAGUAGGGCCUCCUUUGCCUGUCCAGGGAUGUAUUGCCCUAGAUUAAAAAUAUCCCAUUAAAGAGAUUAGAUAAAUAUAGAUAGAAUUUAUUAAAUUUAUGAUACAAAAACUAUUUUUAUCGAAUAACAAAUUUCUUCGAAUUUAAAUAAUUAAAUAUAAACAAUAUAUGAGUGCUAAUAUUAAAAGGGAAAUUCAAAAUAACAAUGAUUUUGGUUUCACUUUUAUUUAUUUAUCUAUCACAUAUUUUAGGUAUAUUGGUAUGGUUAAUUUAUUAAGAAAUGAUGGAAAGGAAUGAAAAAAGAAACAAAAAAAGAGAGUGAAAAUAAUAUAAAAAUAAGUAAAUAAAAUUGAAGUAGGCGAGGGAGUCAAAACACUAAUUAAGAUUCGCAAAGGUAAAUGAUCAUAUUUUCUUUCUCUUAGUAGAUUUGACGAGCGUUGACUAAUCUACCUAUCAAUGUUGUCAUAGCUCAUUCACAUUUGUCGUCAAAGUCAAACUCAUGACUCUGAAAUGUUGCAAUGAGCUCAUUUAUUGUUUAAGAUUUGGAUCGUCCAAUAAUUAUGGAUUUAUUUAUGGAUGUUAUCUCUGUCUACUUAAGGUUUCUUCAGCAAUUAACUAUAAGAUGUUCUUAACAUCUCCCUUUGUACAUUUUCAUAUUCAUUUAUAUUGAUAUACUAUUCAUACCAAAUAUUAGACAUGAUAGAAUAUGAAAAUAUUUGGUUCUAUUACUGUAAUUUACCACGUAAUAGACAAGAUUUUGUUAAUUUCAUAUCCUACUAUAUCAUAUUAUAUUCAGUCUUAUCUUAACUAGAAAUCCAAAUGAACAAAGAUAGCCUAAAAUUGUUAAAAUCCAUCAUGCUCCAUGGGACAUUUGUAAUCCUGAAGAUCUGUCUUUUGUCGAUUUCUUUCGAACUAAAUUGGCGUCACACCUAUACUCUACACCUUUGAUUAGUUUCGGCCGAAAGUUUUCAAUAAUCGUCACCAGACAUGGCGAAAAGCACUGUGCUUAUUUUUUCACAUGGCCCGCCUGCUUGUAGAUAGGCAAUUACCAAUUUGCUCGAAUUGGGUAGUAGGUGACGGGUCAAAUUGGCCUAUGUCCGCAAGCCAUAGAUUCUAAUAAUCGGUCUUCUUUUUAAUCUAAAUUAUUCAGGGGAGUAGGAAGAUUUGGCCAAUCAAAAAUGCACACUUGACCUGUCCUUGCACCAUAUACAAAAUGGUUUUCUUUGUCGACUUCCUUUGCACUUGCAAUUGAGUAAACUAUUGAUCACCUAACCUCCACAAGGAAGAAAGGGGUAAUAGACUAUUAUAUGUCCGAUGCCAUUAUUCACCCAAAUCAAUCUUUGCGCGUGGGAAUAUAAGAAACCUCAUAACAUUUUCCAUGCAACAACGGAAUUAGAAGAGCAAAAAGCACCAUCGCUCAGACAAAAUACUGCGAUGGGAAAUACUAUCGGUUCGAGUGGUAGAAGGAGGUGUUUUUGGGAAGGAUCAUUUAUGUGACUCUCUCUCCUCCGAAACUUUUUCAUAUUUGAUUAGUCAAACCUAAUUGCGAAAGUAAACCGUGAUGAUCUCACCCUGCAAUGCUGGUCAAGUACGCUGCUUUGGUUGACUUCCUGGCUGCCCACUGAUGAGGGCGGGUCCUGAAAAUUGCUGUCUCGGAUUGAAUCGAGCUGAGGAAUGUGGAGAAACCUUAUAACGAAUAUUGAUCCAGCUGAUGCUCGGAGGCACACCAUCGUAAAAGACAAAAUGUAAUAUUUGGUCUUUCUUUGUUAUAUUUGGUCAAAAGUGGGCUUUUCAUAUUUAAAGAAAGGAAAAAAUAAGAGUAAUGAUGGGACAGCCCGCACCGAGAGUGAAAGGAAACGGGAAAGAAAAGGAAGACGAAAGAGAAAAAGUAGAGAGGAAGAACUAGCGCACACACCUUGGAAUUCUCGUCGAGUUGGAUCAACUUCAUUUUUAUGAUAAAAAUUUACGGCAUUUGUUUGUUUAUUUGGAGUAGUUUUCAACAUCAGGAUACAAAUUCGAAAUUAUGUGAAAUUUAAACUACAAAUUCAAUUUUAAGAUGUGAUAUUACAUGGAAAUCAUAAUUAGGGCAUUAUGGAGUUAUGGAAAAAGAUUUGAAGUAACUUUUUGGUCAAUGUGAAAUUUUAGAGAUUUCUGCAUGAGCUCUACAUUAUGAUUUAAUUAAAUGGCAGAAAUAAUGUUCAUUGCUUAUUUGAUACAUAAAAUUUGAAUCGGGUAUUUAUUGCCCUUUUGUUUAUUUGAAAUAGCGUGGAAAGCAUUUUUGGAAACAAUUUACUAUUAUUGUGAAAUAAUUUGGGAAAUGCUUUAUUGCAUAAAAGCUAUAUGUAUUGAUUUGUGAAUUUGAUUUAUAAAGAUAUUAUAUUGCGAAAGGAUAUAUGUUUGAUAUUAUGAAAACUUUAUGAUAUCGAUUCUGAAUUGGUUUUGAGGAAGAAAUUGAUUUUUGAAAGAAUAUAUGUUUUUUGUUUGGUCGGUCAAAGGAUAUAUGUUUUGGUUUGUGUCAAAGUAUUUUGAUUAUGAGAUGGAUUUGGGUUUGGUAUUGUGGAUUAUUAGAAUAUGACGAUUUGAUAAUUAAUAUUGUUGCGAACUUAGUUAGGAGUUUUUAAAGCUUAAGGAUAUUGUUAUAGGCCAAACCACUAGCUGCUAACAAGCAGAGACAUUGCCUUGGUCAUGUUUCACUAGACAUUGUGUCGUGAUUAUGGUUGAAUAUUAAGCAUAAAAUGAAUCAAUGAAAUAAAUCAUUGAUGUAUGGUGUGAAAUUAAUCAUUGGUCAAUGAAAUAGAUCAUCGAUAUGUGAAUUGAUGAGAUUGAUCAAUAUAUUGGACCAUUGAUAUCUACUUUAAUAUUAUCGAUGAAAAGAGUAUUUCUUAUAUGUAUAAAGUUUUGUUCAAAAGAUAAAACUUGUUUUUGAUUUCAUACAUAUGCAAUACUGUGGAUUUGAAUUAGAUGAGUUUUGAUUUUGUACUGUAAACAUGCACAGUAUAUGCUCAAUCUGCUUAGAAGAGAUAUGCACUUCUUAUCGAGCUAUAGUUGCUUAUUUUCAACUUCUUUAGUUAUUGACAAGCAAGAACAGAGCGCUAAUGGCAAGGAGCUUUCGCUAGUUGUGUUUUGGAUAUGAGUUGAGAUAGUACGAUAUACUUAUAUUUUAAUAUCAAGUUUGGGAUUGAGAAUGCGUUCUCCAAGUAGAAGGGCAGCAGUAUCGUUUCCCCAUUUCCAUAGAAUUCAGGAUGUGGCACGCGCCUCGUAUGGAUCAAACUUUUCGAGUCAUGUCCGUGUGGACUUGUUGUAGGGGUCAAGGUCACCGCUACACUAACCGACCAGACUAUGAAGGGGUGCAAUUUUGGCCAGUUGCGAUCGACUUGCACGAUACCAAUUUUUUUUCCUUUGACAACGAAACGUCAUUCUAGUCACUUUCCGAGGGAGUCAGGUGGUGAAAGCCCAAUUCGGAAACUCAAUAGCGGAGUCAUGCGACGUGUUCGACAAGAGGAGGGAUCUUGAUGCUGCGUAAUGGCUUGCUGUACAACUUCAAUUGCUUUGUGAUGUUUUUCAACUCUAAAUCACCACAAAACACUGUAACUUUUAAAAGGAAUUCGGUUCCUGUUACAACCUGUGAGUCUGUGACCUGUCAUCAUAAUGGCAUAAGAUAUUUAUAACUUAAAUCGAAAUUCGGGUGAAAUUGCACUCGAUGACUCCAGAAAAUCAUAGUUGAAGAUUGCUAUCCAUGACGGCAGGAGUGCAACCCGAUGACUUGAGAAAUAUGACUUGAGUGCUAGCAAGCAGAAAGCCAGAGCAGCAACCAAAGCAGUAGGAAAAAAAAAAAAACAAUGUCGGUACAAGAUUUUCUUCUAGCAGCCCCUACACCAUUUACAUGGUCAUGGAGUAAAAUAUAUUUUAAGGAUGCAUUUGUUUCGCGAAAAAUAAAUUAAAAUAAAUCACUAAAAAAUUAUUUUUUCUAUUGUUUACAAAAAUAUAUAAUAAAAAUAUUUUCAUCAUACACGAAAAAAUGUUUAGACAUUAUGGGUCCGUUCGUUUCGUGAAAAACAACUUCUGGGAAAACAUUUUCUGGAAUUUCUGGUGUUUGGAUGAUGAAAAAUAGAUGGUCAAAGAAAAUAUUUUCCGGCCAAUGGAAAAUCUUCUUGUAAGAUUGUGGAAAAUGAUUUCCUUUUUUGAGAAGAGAAAAAAAAUUUCCAUAACUUCUUCCACCUUCUUUCUUUUCACCAACACAUUUAUGCUUUCUUUUUCUUUUUUGUUUUUUUUUAAAUCGAGUUUUUAAUUUUUCCUUUUCUUUUUUUCCAUUUCAUCUUCUUCCUUGGUGGCCGGCGACUAGCCACAAGCCAGCUCGAGCCUCGCCCUAGGCUAGCGAGGCUCCGCCUAGCUUGAUCUGGCGAAGCCGAGCUCGCCCGAACCCAGUGAGCUCUGGCCUCACCAGAUCGAGCGAGGCAAAGCACCGCCGGCCUGGGGCAGAGCUCGGGCCUAGCUAGAUCCGGCAAGCUGGGCGAGGCUUGGGCCUCGCCUGAGCUUGACAGAGGUUCGCUAGGCUCUGGCGAGCCACGAGCUCGCCGAAUUUGGCAGAGGAGAUCAAGCUCCCGAUCCAGGCGAGCCCGAGCUUUGCCGCCAAUUCGGGCAAGCUCGCGGCUCACCAGAGCCCGGCGAAACUCUGGUGAGAUCGGCCGAGCCUCGAGCUCGCUGGAUCUGGCGAUUGGGUCUUGGUCAGUCGCCAGACAGCCGACCAUCGUCAGGCAUGCGGCGAUGGAGGAAGGAGGCGGUGGCGGAGGAAGGAGAAGUCGGGAGGAAGAAGGAGGAAGGAAAAGAAAAGGAAAGAAAUAAUAAAAAAAACAAUUUUUUAAGAAUACAAAUAAUUAAAAACUCAUUUUUUAAAAAAAUAUAAAAAAAUAAAACUAAUUUUUUGGUCAAUUAGAAAUAUUAAAAUUCAAUUUUUGAUAAUUCUUCCCAAACAAUUAAAUUAACUAAUAACCGGUAGAAAAUAUUUUCCACUCGAAAUUUAGAUUAAGGCCAAACACUGGAAAAUAGAGUCAUUUUCCUGGAAAAUGACUUCUAGGAAAAUGUUUUCCAGAAAUAUAAUAUUUUUUGCGAAAUGAACGGACCCUAUAAUGAAAACAUUUUGUAUUGAAUAAUUAUUUCAAGCAAUACAAACGAUUUUUUUAGAAAAAUAUUUUCUAAAUUAUUCAUUUUAUAUUAAACAAAUGGAGCCUAAGUUUCUACUUUAUGAAUGAAAGGAAUAUAUUGACAUAUGGGCUUUCAAGAAAAGAAAUGUCUGGCAUUAGAAUCAUUUAAAAAUGGAUACUUUUUUUUUUAGAAGAGAAGUCCAAUUAACUCAACGAAUUAACAAUUUUUCUAACAAGGAUAUUAAAUGAGUCGCCCAACAUUGACAAUCAUAAUUCUUCAGGUAAAUAUGUGCCUAAUGUAAUAUACUUUUUAUUAACUUGUCACAUUUUAUAUCAUUGUCACGUCAUGUAACAACCACUAUAUGAUGUUUCAGAUCUAGCAGAGAGCACAUUAUUCUAGACCAGAGAAGGAUACAACAUCAAAAAAGGCCUUAUAGAGGAUAAUUUCACUGGAGUGAUCCCACUUGACACAAUAUCUUUCACAAACUAGACUCGACAAAGCUUAUUAGAUCCCCUGAAUCCGUCGAUUGAGAUCGAGCGGUAACGUACUAAUUAGGCACGGGGAGACUCGAUGGUUCACGGAAAGCGACUACUCCUUCUCACAGACCAAGGACUCGGGUGCAUCCGACGGACCUAAUAAAGACGGUCCUAAUACAGACCGGGCCAGAGCUCGACGACCUUCUUCCAAGAAGGCCUGCUCGAGAUGUCAUCCCACCACGCACUCACAUGCUUCCGGUCCCUUAUCAGGUACUCCUUCCCCAUUUUUCCCAUCAGGUACUGCGUUAACGAGAGGUGGCUCAGGUCGGCGAGGCUGAACAAAUCCCCCGCCAGGUACUUGCUCUUCGACAGCCUCUCCUCGUAGAUGUCUAGCACCUUACAGAGCUUGUCCUCGCUCUCUUUGAUCAGCUUCGGAUCCGGGGUAAGUCCCCUAAUCGGGUCAAAAACAAUUUUGUAGAUGAGGUCAGUGAUGGGCGGGCUGUAGCACUGGGCCUCGACUUCGAGCCACUGCUCGACGAGCCCCGUCUCCUCUAUCGUCUUUCCCAGCAGGUCGGUCCCUUGGUGCUUGUAUUUCUGGGCAUAAUACCUUGCGAUGGCCCGCGAUUCUGCAUGAACAAAAUAGGAUCCAUUACAGAGAGACAAAUCUUUACCCCCCCGCAUGAAAUUGACCAUAAUCUAGAACGCAACCUAAAAGAGACCAGCGCUAAGAUUUUGAAUUUACAAGCAGUCAGUCUCACAACGCUAGACCAACAGUAACAGUGCAGAAUCAGUGGGAUGUUUUUAUGACUAUGAAUUGAUCAUUCUGCCUCGACAUCGAUCAGGAAAGUAAUUGGACAAAAAUGCAGGUUCAAACAGAUAAUCGACGGCCUUCGGCCAACAUAGGAAACGGUAGUUUUCGAAGCUACUCUUUACUCUUCCUUGGAUACUCCCCAGAUAGCCAGCUGACGAGUCUGGCCUCUUUUCCUUAAACCUGAGCAAUCCUGACUGAUGGGGAAAAUACUCGAAAGACUCGCAUCUCACCGCUGAAACGCACGCCCAAUCCUUCCCAAUUCAGACUAUUUCGCCAUGGAGCUUUGAUUUAAAUCAUCCAUUGCCUAGGCAAAUGUUUCGACUUGAGAUUGAUCAGACUCUUAAAAAGUUCAAAUUAUAAAGACGACAACCUUAACUUUAACCUAACAAAUGCCGGAAGGUGCUGAGUUCCGAGCACAAAUCCUCCGCCCCUAAUGCAUUUUGAUUACACCAGCAUUUUUUUUCUUUUUUUUUUAGAGAGGAUAAAAGAACACUCGAAAGUUAUUGUCAAAGCACGCAAGUGAUUAAAGGAGUCGCAAAGCUAAAUCACCGGACGUCCAUGAGCUAAAACGAGCUGCUAAUAUCAACUGAAUAUUAUGUCGACAGAACUUGGGCUUCUCAACUUCCUGUGGUAUCUAUUCAUUGCAGAGCUUCUUAGACUUUAAACACCAAACCUUAACCCGACAAAUUACACAAGCGACAGCAUGCUGAAGAACCAUCCGUGCUUCCACAUGUUUCGGUCCAAGCGUCGGAGUGCGAUGUGAAAAUCCAAAAGUCGAGAGCAUUACCAAACAAAGUAUAGUCUCCAUCUUGAAUCACAGGAACCGAUCCGAAGGGCUGCAGGCACGCACACACAUGAUCCGAAUCAGAAACAUUCAGAUAAAGUACCUCAAUGCUAAGUACCCACAAAGAAAAUGUAAACUCCAGUUGGAUCCAAAGAGACGCGAGUUUCAAGAACAGAGACAGGCCUGGAGCUUGAGGAAUUCAGGGGAUCUGUUCUCGUCCUUGAAGAUAUCGAUGGGAACGGUCUCGAACUCGACGCCCUUCUCGAUCAGGCACACCAGCACUCGCUUCGGAUUUGCAUAAUCAGGCCCGUACACCUUCACCACCAUUUUUUCUCUCUUCUUCUCUCUUGUCGACGGACCAGUUGAUUUCCAAAUAUCUUUCAGGAUCGACUCUCCUUCUGCGUCUGGGUUUAUAAAGGAAGCUCUUAUCAGACGAUUAAACCAAGUCGCACACGAUACCGUCAUGCACCAACUUACUGUUCGCGACCAGAUUCCUUUGGAGAUCCAAGGUUAGAUAAUCGGUCAAUGUUGGUAUGCUACUAAUUACCUUCGUCGAAUUUGACUUCGCAUAUGCCUCGGAAGGGUUUGCAACAUUUCCUCUGACUUAUCUUUGAUAGAUUGUUCUCUGGCAAUGCGCACGCUAUCUGACAUAUUUGGACGGUAGACUUGAAAUUCAUUAUGCUCGCAUAAAUUUCCUCGGAGAAAAUGACAGUCUUUAAAACUUUAGCCUAAGUGCAACGUUGUCUUUGACUUUUAUUAAUUUAAUGAAUUCCUUGAAUUUUCUAAUGUUCAAUCUAAUCCUUAAAUCCUUCUGCAUUUUGCCAAUUAAAUUCAUCUAGCUGAUUUUAGCUAAAGAUCAUUGAACUAGACAUUAACUUUAUUUGGUAGUAUAAGUGACAUUGAUGUAAACAAUUUUUUAAUAAUUUUAAAUUUUUAAUAAUUUUUUUCUUUUUUCUUUUUUCUUUUUCUAAUCCUAGGUCGACAACCCUCACUUCAUCUAGGCUAGGGGCCCUCACCCAAAACCAGGUGAGGGAUGCCCUCGCCUUACCCAAGCCAAGCAAGGGUGUCACAGCCCUCGCCUAAAUCUAGGCAAAGGCCAACCCUCUCACUUGUGGUCUGCAACUCAAGUAACACUGAUACCAGUAUAUGACAUGCAACACGACAUAAGAUGACAUAAGAUAACAUGCGAUAUGACACAAUAUAACACGUCAACAUGUUUUUUCUAAAACAAUAGAGAAUUCCGAUACGUUAGGACGCAUUAUAUAUUAAAUAUAUAUUUUUAUAUAUACAUGAUAAAUUAUCAUUUUUAUGAUUAUUUUAAUAAAAUUAAUUUGAUUUAGAUUCACAAAUAAAUAAAUAAUAAAAAAGAGCAUAGAAUGAAUUUACACUAAAAACAUUAAUUUAUCAUUUGUUGAUAUGAUUCAUUGUUUCAAUUUAACAAAUCCAGCUAUAUUCCGUUCAAAUAAUCUUUAAAACUUGAAGGAAAAAAAUCAAUUCACAUUCCACUAUUAAAUUAACAUUUAACAAGAAGUCAAAAAAAAAAAAAAAAACAAUCCACAUUUCACCAUCAAAUAUAACAAUAAGUCUUUAUUUCUCCCUUUUAUUUUUUUUAUUUUUUAUUUUUUUUUACAUAUUUAUAUUUUGACUCCUCUUUUAGUGAAACUUUUCAAAAUUAACCUAAUGUGUGUCGAAAUCACAUGUUGAAAUUAUAAACUCACAUGUUGGAUCCUGUUGCGCUGGAUGUCGGAUUUUCUAACACCUGUUGACUACGUGUGGAAAUGUGUCGGAGCGUGUCAAAGUGUUUGACACAACACGAAAGAUCUUGGAAAAUGUCAAUGCUUCCUAGCCUGCAACUAGGGUUAGGAAAAAAAAUAAAGGAAAGGAAAAACAAACAAACAAAUAAAUAAAUAAUAUUUAAAUAUUAUUAAAAAUUGUGUAUGUUAGCGUUAGUCGUCGCCGGCCGUAUCACAUACAACAUCUAACAUCCACAUUAGUAAUUUCAUGUCAAAAUUGGUCGAAGGAACUCAAUUGGAAAAAGUCAAAGAUAUUUAAACUCAAUUAACAAAAUUAAAAAGUUUAUGACUAAAUUGGCAAAAUUACAAUAGAUUUAGAAAUUUUUGGAUAAUUUUUCCUCUUCCCUCGCAUGCAAUGCAGACUUAUCUCCUAGAAUGAGUGUUAACAGCUCAUCAAACACCAGUUCAGUGAGUGCUGGACAUGUGAACGAACAUUUAUGAAGUUGCUCUUUCCAAGUUGUAAAAGAUCCAUAAAAGUUGGUUAGUAGGUGGUUAAAUUUUAAUUUCACCAAAGUCACUGGCAUAGUACUAAUUAGCCGCGUACAUAGCCCGACAAAACACGACACCGCCAGGAAUAAUACAACACCAAAGAGGUCCACGACGCAAACAGCCCUAGUAAAUUAGGAACAUCUGCAUGCUAAAGAACCAUCCGUCUGUCCCCGUGCUCUGAUCUCAAGACCGCAAGAAAACAGCAAUAGAAAGAAAAGAACGAUGCAAGAAGCCAAGAGUCGAGAGCAUUACCGAACAGAGUGUAGUCGCCAUCUUGAACCACAGGAAGCGAUCCGAAGGGCUAGACAGGCGCGCCCGCACGAGAUCCGAAUCAGCGUCAAUAAGACAAGACACACUUCAAAUGCCAAGUACCCACGAAAGGAGACACGAUGAAAAGUCAAGCUGUCGAGAGUUUGACCGAAAGUGAAGUCGGACUUUCAAGAACGAACGGGACAGACCUGGAGCUUGAGGUACUCGGGGGCUUUGUGCUCGCCUUUGAAGAGGUCGACGCCGACGGUCUCGAACUCGACGCCCUUCUCGAUCAGGCACACCAGCGCCCGCUUCGGCGACGCAUAGUCAGGCCCGUACACCUUCACCACCAUCUUCACUCUCGCUCCCUCACACUCUCUUUCACUCUCUCUCUCUCUCUCUCUCUCUCUCUCUCUGCUUCUUUCUUCCUUCUUGACGGACCUAGUCAGCGACUCUCUCCGCUCUGUCUCCCGCGUUUUAUAAAGAAGUCUCUUUGUUAGAGCAGCAGACAGAAGCUGCACACGUCAAUGAUGCACCAACCCACCACCAAUCCAAGGUUAGUUAAUUGGUCCCAUCACUAAAGAGUUUCGCAUUUUGCAUUUGCUUCCAUGAGUUUGAAUCCCUCUGCAAGUUAAGACUUAUCUGGAAAUAUUGCGACUCUUUGGCUGUGCAUGCUAUCUGGGUAAAGUUGGGAUGGCAAGUAGGGCCUCCUUUGGUUAUUGAUAGAUUUUUUUAUAUUUAUGAUAUAAAAAUCAUUUUUGUCUAAUAAUAAAUUUCUUCGAAUUUAAAUAAUUAAAUAUAAACAAUAUAUGAGUUCUAAUAUUAAAAGGGAAAUUCAAAAUAACAAUGAUUUUCAUUUUAUUUUUAUUUAUAUAUUUGAAUUUAUUUUCUAUAUAUACAUACUUAAAAUUUAUAUCUAUAGCAUAUUUUAGGUAUUUUGGUAUAGUUAAUUUAUUAAGAAAUGAUGGAAAGGAAUAAAAAAAGAAACAAAAAAAGAGAGUGAAAAUAAUAUAAAAAUAAGUAAAUAAAAUUGAAGUAGGCGAGAGAGUCUAAACACUAAUUCAGAUUCGCAAAGCUAAAUGAUAAUGUUUUCUUUCUCUUAACAGAUUUGAUACGCAUUGACUAAUUUUCCUAUUGAUAUUGUUGUAGCUCAUUUACAUUUGUCUUCAUAGUCGAACCCAUGACUCUAAAAUGCUACAAUGAGCUCAUUUGCUGUUUAAGAUUUGGAUUGUAAAAUAAUUAUGGAUUUAUUUAUGGAUGUUAUCUCCAUUUUGUCCUUUUAUGGUUUCUUUAGCAAUUAAACUGUAAAUUAUUCUUAACAUCUCCCUUUGUACAUUUUCAUGUACAUUUACAUUGAUAUACUAUUUAUAUCAAACAAUAGAUGUGAAAAUAUUCGAUUUUAUUACUAUAAUUUACCACAUAAUAGACAAGAUUUUGGUAAUUUCAUAUCCUACCAUAUCAUAUUAUAUUAAGUCAUAUUUUAACUAGAAAUCCAAAUGAACAAAGGCAGCCUAAAAUUGUUAAAAUCCGUCAUGCUCCAUGGGACAUUUGUAAUCUUGAAAGGAUAUGUCUUUUGUCGAUUUCUUUUGUACUAAAUUGAUGUCGCACCUAUGCUCUACACCUUUGAUUAGUUUUGGCCGAAAGUUUUCAAUAAUCGUCACCAGAAAUGGCAAAAAGCACUGUGCUCAUUUUUUCACAUGGCCUGCCUGCUUCUAGAAAGGCAAUUACCAAUUUGCUCAAAUUAGGUAGUAGGUGACGGUUCAAAUUGGCCUAUGUCCACAAGCCAUAGAUUCUAAUAAUUGGUCUUCUUUUUAAUCUAAAUUAUUCGAGGGAGUAGGAAGAUUUGGCCAAUCAAAAAUGCACACUUGAGCUGUCCUUGCAUCAUUUACAAAAUGGUUUUCUUUGUCGACUUCCUUUGUACCUGCAAUUGAGUAAACUAUUGAUCACCUAACCUCCACAAGAGAACGAGGAAGAAAGGGGUAAUCGACUAUUAUAUGUACAACGCCAUUAUUCACCCAAAUCAAUCAUUGCAUGUGGGAAUAUAAGACACCUCAUAACAUUUUCCAUGUGACAACGGAAUUAGAAGAGCAAAAAGCAUCAUUGCUCGGACGAAAUACUGCUAUGGGAAAGACUAUCAGUUCGAGUGUUAGAUGGGAGGCGUUUUUAGGAAGGAUCAUUUAUGUGAGGAAACUUAUACUGGCAACAAGGGAGAUAUAAAGAGGUGGAAGGAUGCACUAAGUAAAGUAGCUAGUCUUGCUAGAAGAGAAUUGAAAGAUGGGUAGGCCUCUCUUCCACUAACUUGGAAUUAUUUGUUUUCUUUAAGUUUAGUGUGCCAUGAAUGUCAUGACUAUCAUACUCUGUAUUAUGUUAGUUCAUCUAAACCAGAAUAUAUGAUUAACUCCUCCAAAACUACACUGCCUCAAUGCUACCUAGGGAACUAAUCAUCUGGAUUUCUUCAUUGUAGAUAUGAGACACAGUUCAUUUGGCAAAUCAUUGGAGAAAUCAAAGAUAAAUUGGGUCCCCGACUAUCCUAUGUUGUAGGUGUUAGGAAAAUUCCUUAUGAUAUUUUGAAAAUAACAAAAUAAAUCAAAGGCUACUAACGUGUUUAAUGGUUAAGUAACAGACUAUGCAGAUGAUAGAAUGUAUAAAGAAUAUUAUCAAAGUCUAUACUUGGAAGAACUAGAAGAUAGACUUUAUGCUGAAACUGAAUUUAUUCAAACUGUGUCUAGACCUUAAGUCUAAAUCUGUUCAAAAGCAGAUUAUGUUCAGACUUACGUCCAGAUUAUAAAGUCUAUCUCAGACUUUACUUCAAACUAAAGACACUCAGACUCUACUUCAAAUAGAAUAUUCCCGAACUUUACAUCCAGAACGAGACACAAGUUUAGAACGUAGCAGAUUCAUAAUGAAGCAUGUUCAGAAUGAGACAACUUGAUAGAACGUAACACGAGCCCCAAACAUAUAACGGCUAGUAAUCUGGUUUGGAUUCUACAUCAAGAUAGAUUUGAUUGACAAAUUGGAUAUUAAAAACAAGAACUUUCUAUACGAAGAAGCUAUACUUAUGAAAACCAAGAUUCUGCUUGUAUGGGCGAUCGGAAUCAAUUUGGGAUUCUACUUCUAUCACUCAACGGCUAUUAAAUCUUCUAAAUAUAGAUAUGUCCAAUGGGUAGAUCGGAAGACGAUCCUCUAAAUACUGUCCAAUUACUAGUUUGAAAGUGGAGGAGUAUUUAAGGAGAUCAAUGACCGAUAAACAAAUAAGAGACGAAGCGUAGAAAUUUAUAAUUUCAAAGUAUGAGCAAUCUUCAAUCAUACGCUUGUCUUUGGUAAGCUUAAACAUUUGUGAUCGUGAGAGAAAUAUCAAAAGAGUGACUUAGUGAGAUAGUGUGCUCUACCACUAAAUGUUUGCACUCAAAGUUGUAAUCUCUUGUUGAUCAUAUAGUGGAAUCCAGCCAGAAGGCUGUCAGCGUGGAAGAGUGGAUGUAAGCUUGAUCUAAGCCGAAUCACUAUAAAUUCUAUGUUUUUAUUCUCUUUCCUGAACUCCUUUAUUUUGUUCGUAGUUCUAUUUAACUAUUAAAGUUUGAACUCGCUCAAAGUCUGUUGUUCUUCAGACUCAGUUUCAAAAGCAAAAUAUUUGUAUUACUUUUUGCAAAAAAUUUUCUUCACACCUAUUCAACCCCCCUCUAGGUGUUCAUACUAGCACUUUCAGUAGGCAAUCUUGUGGGAAUGCAUUCCCGGGUUGCAAAUGUAGUUGAAUAUUUAUCCUUGGACGAGAGUGAUGUACACAGUAUUGGCAUAUGGGGAAUGGGUGGCAUAAGCAUAACAACUGUUGCACAAGCAAUUUUUGACAAAAUCCGUGGCCGAUUUGAUGAUGGAAGUUUCUUGCCAAUGUCAAAGAAAUUUCAAAAAAGAAUGGUUUGGUAUAUUUGCAAAACCAGUUUCUCAGUGAUAUUCUCCAAGAGGACAAUUUGACAAUCAUGGAUGAUCACAGAGGAACAAACAUGAUAAGAGAACAACUGUGACAUAAAAAAGUUCUUGUUAUACUUGAUGAUGUGGACGAAAAGGAGCAGCUGGAAAAACUAGCAAGAGGUCUUGAAUGGUUUGGACAUGGGAGUAGGAUCAUUAAAACAACUAGAGAUGAACAUUUGCUUCUCCAAUAUGAUGUAAAUUCCAUAUAUAGGGUGGAGGGACUAUCCUUUUAUCAGGCUCGCCAACUAUUUUGUUCAAAAGCUUUUAGAAGUGACCAUCCUCCAAUAGAGUUCGAGGAGCUCACAAAGCAGGUUAUUGAAUAUGCUAGUGGUCUUCCUCUAGUCCUUGAUGUCUUAGGUUCCUUUUUGGCUUAUAGGAGCUUGAAGCAAUGGAAGAGUGCACUAGCCAAACUCAAGAAAUGUCUAGAAGGGAAAAUCUUUUACCAGCUUAAGUUAAGUUAUGAUGGACUACAGCAGAAAGAGAAGGAGAUUUUCCUAGAUAUUGCAUGUUUUUUCAAGGGAAAGGAGAAACCUUAUGUUACAAAAGUUUUGGACAAUUGCGGUUUGUACGUAGAUAUUGGAAUCAAAGUCCUUGUCAAUAGAGCUCUCAUCCAAAUCGUGGGCAACAAACUGUGGAUGCAUGAUUUGCUACAAAAUAUGGCUUGGGAAAUUGUUCGUCGAGAGUCUCCUAAAGAGCUAGGAGAACAAAGUCGAGUCUGGCUUUUUGAGGAUGUAUGCCAUAUUUUGUCAAAAAACUCGGUGAGUAUCUGCAAAAUUAAUUUGCAAGCAUGCCUAUUUGAUAGAGUUUAAAAAGAACUUGCUAGUCAUAUAUUGACACUAUAUGAGUUGUUUAUCAAGGAACUGGAAAAGUCAAAGCCAUAGUCUUGCAAUAUGGGGACCAUAGAACAAUGCGCUUGAGUGGAGAGUCCUUCACCAACAUGACUAAAUUAAGAUUGCUUGAUAUUCGGGCCAUCCACCUCUCUUAUGGGUUCAAGCACCUUUCAAAUGAACUAUGCCUACUAAGAUGGGACAACUGCAGUCUUAAAUCAUUUCCACCAAGUUUUCUUCCAAAGAAUCUUGUCGAACUCCAUAUGCAGGAUAGCCUCCUUUGCAACAACUGGAGAGGGGAAAAUGUUGGAAUUAGUACUAAUGCAUGUUAACCUCAAUGGUUCCAAAUUAUUUGUGGAGACUCCAAACUUCAUAUAUGUCCCAAAUCUAGAGAGGCUAAUUCUCAAAGGUUGCAAAGCAUUAUCUAAAGUUCAUCCUUCAAUUAGAAAUCUAGAAAGACUCAGUCUACUUGAGGUGAUUGUGAAAAUAUCAUGGGACUUCCAAAUAGUCUAGGUAAUCUAAAAUCUCUCAGAGUUCUUAAUCUAUGUAGAUGUUCAAAUCUUGAAGAACUGCCUGAUAGCAUUGGGGGCUUAGAGUGCUUAGAGGAGCUUGAUAUUAGUGAAAGUGCCAUGACACGCCUCCCAUCCAGCUUGGUGUUCUUACAAAAUCUGAAAAAAUUAUGCUUUCAUGUUAAUAAAAGGAGGCCACAAAAUUGUUGGAGGACACUGACCAAACGCUGAGAAGAGCUCUGAACUCUAGAAGUCCGAGGUUGCCUUCAUUUUCAAGGCUAUCCUCUUUAAUAGAGUUGGAUUCGAGUGGCUGUAGACUUCUGGAAGGAGAAAUUCCCAGUGAUAUUGACUGCUUACCCUCCUUGAUGUCUUUAGAUCUAACUGAAAACAGUUUUACCACCAUACCUGCAAGCAUCAAACAUAUCUUUGGCUUGAAAUAGCUUUGUAGCAUUUUCUCUGGCCCAUCUUUGACAUAUUAUAUACUCUUGCAGCGUGCAUAAUGUUGGAUAUAGUUGGACAGUAGAAUCAUAAAAAUUUCAUUAUGCUCGCAUAAUUUACAUAUUUCUAAUUAUCAUUUUUUUGUGGGCCAUUUGAAAUUUAAAAGGCCUAUCUUUCGUCAAUUUUUUCUUCACUGGAUGAUGUCGAACCUAUGCUCAAUAGUCAAUUUACAUUGACUUCACUAGAUGAAUGUCAAACCUAUGCUCAAUAGUCAAUUUACGUUACUUGUUUUGGCCGAAAAGUUUCCAACAAUCCUCAGUAGAAACGGCAAAAGCAUUUUGCUCGUCCAUGUUGAUAUUGCCCGAUUGCCUGCCUGCUUCUAGAAAAGCAAUUACAAAUUUGCUCAAAUUGGGAAUUGGGGAUACUAAUCGGUCUUUUUCCACAAUUUCUUUAAAGUUUAGGAAGAAUGUUCAAGUGUCGAUAUUCAUGAGACAAUAUGAACUUUUCUCGUAUGCUUCAGCUAAUCUUUUUGGGGAUGAUCUCAUCGUGUGAUGCUACUCUGUUUUCUGCAGCAGUUUUGGCUUUUCUUCUGGUGCAAAAGAGUCGGCAAACCUCCGUCUUCUUCAUGCCAACAAGACGCGCCCACAUCUAAUAUAUAAAACUUGAUGCGGUCGGUAUCCAUGUUUAUAAAGAGUUCAUUUAUCUCUUAGAAUGAGUCUUAACAGCUGAUCUAACACCAAUUCAGUGAGUACUGGACAUAUAAAUGAAAGUCUAUGAAGUUGCUCCUUUCAAGUUGUAAAAGAUCCUCAAAAGUUGAUAAGUAGGUGAUUAAUUUUUAAUUUCACCAAAGUCGCUCGCAUAGUACUAAUCAGCUGCGUACAUAGCCCUUUCAUUUAUCUCUUAGAAUGAGUCUUAACAGCUGAUCUAACACCAAUUCAGUGAGUACUGGACAUAUAAAUGAAAGUCUAUGAAGUUGCUCCUUUCAAGUUGUAAAAGAUCCUCAAAAGUUGAUAAGUAGGUGAUUAAUUUUUAAUUUCACCAAAGUCGCUCGCAUAGUACUAAUCAGCUGCGUACAUAGCCCGACAACACGCAACACUGUCAUGAAUAAAACAACAAGAAGGAGGUCCACGACACGAUCGGUCAAACCAGAUUCAACAAAGCUUAUUUGAUCACCCAGAUCGAGUAGAAACAUACUUAGUAGUCACAGAAAGACUCGCUAUCCUUCGCAUAGAACAAGGACUCGGGUGCACUCGGCAUAACUGAUAAAACAGUCCUAAUACAGACCGGGCCAGAGCUCAAGGACCUUCUUCCAAGAAGGCCUGCUCGAGAUAUCAUCCCACCAACCGCUCACAUGCUUUCGGUCCCUUAUCAGGUACUCCUUCCCCAUCUUGCCCACCAAGUACUGGGUGAAUGGAAGGUGGCUCAGGUCGGCAAGGCUGAAGAAAUCCCCUGCCAGGUACUUGCUCUUUGACAGCCUCUCCUCGUAGAUAUCCAGAACCUGACAGAGCUUGUCCUCGCUCUCUUUGAGCUGCUUCGGAUCCGGGGUAAGCCCAAUGAACGGGCCGUAAACAAUUUUGAGGACAAG
RNAcentral lists this long non-coding RNA (26424 nucleotides) under Eucalyptus grandis. RNAcentral describes it as "long non-coding RNA (EGRA_LNC006378)". Lineage: Eukaryota; Viridiplantae; Streptophyta; Magnoliopsida; Myrtales; Myrtaceae. The record is from RNAcentral.